This 396-nucleotide ribosomal RNA is filed under the name uncultured bacterium. RNAcentral describes it as "bacterial SSU rRNA". It matches the Rfam family "Bacterial small subunit ribosomal RNA", at positions 28 to 417 of the family's 1533-position model. The record is from RNAcentral.
GACGAACGCUGGCGGCGCGCUUAACACAUGCAAGUCGAGCGAGAACCAACCCUUCGGGGUUGGGGACAGCGGCGAACGGGUGAGUAACACGUGAGUAAUCCACCCUUGGUACCGGGAUAGCUCGGGGAAACUCGAAUUAAUACCGGAUAGCCCAUUAGCUUUUCGGAGCGAAUGGAAAAGGUAGCUUCGGCCUCCGACCAAGGACGAGCUCGCGGCGGAUUAGCUUGUUGGCGGGGUAACGGCCCACCAAGGCGACGANCCGUAGCUGGUCUGAGAGGACGAUCAGCCACACUGGGACUGAGACACGGCCCAGACUCCUACGGGAGGCAGCAGUGGGGAAUCUUGCACAAUGGGCGAAAGCCUGAUGCAGCGACGCCGCGUGAGGGAAGAAGGCCU